Molecule: ribosomal RNA, 514 nt
Filed under: uncultured bacterium
Lineage: Bacteria
Description: bacterial SSU rRNA
Rfam family: Bacterial small subunit ribosomal RNA
Source: RNAcentral
ACUCAAUAGAUACCCGGGUAGUCCUGGCAGUAAACGGUGCACGUUUGGUGUGGGCGCAAUCGACCGCGUCCGCGCCGGAGCUAAACGCGUUAAACGUGCCGCCUGGGAAGUACGGUCGCAAGAUUAAAACUCAAAGAAAUUGACGGGGACCCGCACAAGCGGUGGAGUAUGUGGCUUAAUUCGAUGCAACGCGAAGAACCUUACCUGGUCUUGACAUGCAUUGUGUCUCCGGUGAAAGCCGGAUAGGGUAGCAAUACCCGCUUUGCACAGGUGCUGCAUGGCUGUCGUCAGCUCGUGUCGUGAGAUGUUGGGUUAAGUCCCGCAACGAGCGCAACCCCGUGUGAUUCGUUGCCACCCGGUUUACCGGCGCACUCGAAUCAGACUGCCUCGAUCAACGAGGAGGAAGGUGGGGAUGACGUCAAGUCCGUAUGGCCCUUACGACCAGGGCUGCACACGUACUACAAUGCUCAGCACAAUGUGACCCGAAGCCGCGAGGCGGAGGAAAUCAGCAAAA